RNAcentral lists this ribosomal RNA (653 nucleotides) under uncultured Lachnospiraceae bacterium. RNAcentral describes it as "bacterial SSU rRNA". It matches the Rfam family "Bacterial small subunit ribosomal RNA", at positions 65 to 719 of the family's 1533-position model. The record is from RNAcentral. Lineage: Bacteria; Bacillati; Bacillota; Clostridia; Lachnospirales; Lachnospiraceae.
AACGGGAAAUAUUUUAUUGAAACUUCGGUGGAUUUAAUUUAUUUCUAGUGGCGGACGGGUGAGUAACGCGUGGGUAACCUGCCUUAUACUGGGGGAUAACAGCCAGAAAUGGCUGCUAAUACCGCAUAAGCGCACAGGACCGCAUGGUCUGGUGUGAAAAACUCCGGUGGUAUAAGAUGGACCCGCGUUGGAUUAGCUAGUUGGCAGGGCAGCGGCCUACCAAGGCGACGAUCCAUAGCCGGCCUGAGAGGGUGAACGGCCACAUUGGGACUGAGACACGGCCCAGACUCCUACGGGAGGCAGCAGUGGGGAAUAUUGCACAAUGGGGGAAACCCUGAUGCAGCGACGCCGCGUGAAGGAAGAAGUAUCUCGGUAUGUAAACUUCUAUCAGCAGGGAAGAUAAUGACGGUACCUGACUAAGAAGCCCCGGCUAACUACGUGCCAGCAGCCGCGGUAAUACGUAGGGGGCAAGCGUUAUCCGGAUUUACUGGGUGUAAAGGGAGCGUAGACGGCGCAGCAAGUCUGAUGUGAAAGGCAGGGGCUUAACCCCUGGACUGCAUUGGAAACUGUUGAGCUUGAGUGCCGGAGGGGUAAGCGGAAUUCCUAGUGUAGCGGUGAAAUGCGUAGAUAUUAGGAGGAGCACCAGUGGCGAA